Molecule: ribosomal RNA, 497 nt
Filed under: uncultured bacterium
Lineage: Bacteria
Description: partial 16S ribosomal RNA
Rfam family: Bacterial small subunit ribosomal RNA
Source: RNAcentral
GAUGAACGCUGGCGGCGUGCCUAAUACAUGCAAGUCGAGCGAACAGACGAGGAGCUUGCUCCUCUGACGUUAGCGGCGGACGGGUGAGUAACACGUGGAUGACCUACCUAUAAGACUGGGAUAACUUCGGGAAACCGGAGCUAAUACCGGAUAAUAUAUUGAACCGCAUGGUUCAAUAGUCAAAGACGGUUUUGCUGUCACUUAUAGAUGGAUCCGCGCCGCAUUAGCUAGUUGGUAAGGUAACGGCUUACCAAGGCGACGAUGCGUAGCCGACCUGAGAGGGUGAUCGGCCACACUGGAACUGAGACACGGUCCAGACUCCUACGGGAGGCAGCAGUAGGGAAUCUUGCGCAAAGGGCGAAAGCCUGACGGAGCAACGCCGCGUGAGUGAUGAAGGUCUUCGGAUCGUAAAACACUGUUAUUAGGGAAGAACAAAUGUGUAAGUAACUAUGCACGUCUUGACGGUACCUAAACAGAAAGCCACGGCUAACUACGUG